Molecule: ribosomal RNA, 1470 nt
Filed under: metagenome
Description: bacterial SSU rRNA
Rfam family: Bacterial small subunit ribosomal RNA
Source: RNAcentral
AGAGUUUGAUCCUGGCUCAGGACGAACGCUGGCGGCACGCUUAACACAUGCAAGUCGAACGAGAGAAGAGGAGCUUGCUUUUCUGAUCUAGUGGCGGACGGGUGAGUAACACGUGAGCAAUCUGCCUUUCAGAGGGGGAUACCGAUUGGAAACGAUCGUUAAUACCGCAUAACAUAAUUGAACCGCAUGAUUUGAUUAUCAAAGAUUUAUCGCUGAAAGAUGAGCUCGCGUCUGAUUAGCUAGUUGGUAAGGUAACGGCUUACCAAGGCGACGAUCAGUAGCCGAACUGAGAGGUUGAUCGGCCACAUUGGGACUGAGACACGGCCCAGACUCCUACGGGAGGCAGCAGUGGGGAAUAUUGCACAAUGGAGGAAACUCUGAUGCAGCGAUGCCGCGUGAGGGAAGAAGGUUUUAGGAUUGUAAACCUCUGUCUUCAGGGACGAAAAAAGACGGUACCUGAGGAGGAAGCUCCGGCUAACUACGUGCCAGCAGCCGCGGUAAUACGUAGGGAGCGAGCGUUGUCCGGAAUUACUGGGUGUAAAGGGAGCGUAGGCGGGAUCGCAAGUCAGAUGUGAAAACUAUGGGCUUAACCCAUAAACUGCAUUUGAAACUGUGGUUCUUGAGUGAAGUAGAGGUAAGCGGAAUUCCUAGUGUAGCGGUGAAAUGCGUAGAUAUUAGGAGGAACAUCAGUGGCGAAGGCGGCUUACUGGGCUUUAACUGACGCUGAGGCUCGAAAGCGUGGGGAGCAAACAGGAUUAGAUACCCUGGUAGUCCACGCCGUAAACGAUGAUUACUAGGUGUGGGGGGACUGACCCCUUCCGUGCCGCAGCAAACGCAAUAAGUAAUCCACCUGGGGAGUACGACCGCAAGGUUGAAACUCAAAGGAAUUGACGGGGGCCCGCACAAGCAGUGGAGUAUGUGGAUUAAUUCGAAGCAACGCGAAGAACCUUACCAGGUCUUGACAUCGUAUGCAUAGCUCAGAGAUGAGUGAAAUCUCUUCGGAGACAUAUAGACAGGUGGUGCAUGGUUGUCGUCAGCUCGUGUCGUGAGAUGUUGGGUUAAGUCCCGCAACGAGCGCAACCCUUACUGUUAGUUGCUACGCAAGAGCACUCUAGCAGGACUGCCGUUGACAAAACGGAGGAAGGUGGGGAUGACGUCAAAUCAUCAUGCCCCUUAUGACCUGGGCCUCACACGUACUACAAUGGCUGUCAACAGAGGGAAGCAAAGCCGCGAGGUGGAGCGAACCCCUAAAAGCGGUCUUAGUUCGGAUUGUAGGCUGCAACCCGCCUACAUGAAGUCGGAAUUGCUAGUAAUCGCAGAUCAGCAUGCUGCGGUGAAUACGUUCCCGGGCCUUGUACACACCGCCCGUCACGCCAUGGGAGUCGGUAACACCCGAAGCCUGUAGUCUAACCGCAAGGAGGACGCAGUCGAAGGUGGGAUUGAUGACUGGGGUGAAGUCGUAACAAGGUA